CCUUCGACCGCUGCUCACCCCAUUUGCUAACUAAGUGGGCACAAGCAAGCACCAGGAGGUUCACACACACUAUUCAUCAUCAUCAUGAUACGGUUUUCCUCUCAUUUGAUUGUAUCCCCUCCACUCACGAAAGGGAAUCUUCACAACCAAAAUGAAACAAAUAUACGAUUGAUUCACACAACAUUUCAUUCAUCUAUCAUCAUUGCCAUCCACCCUCUUCCUCACUAGCAUUCACGCUUGAACACUACGCACUCUUUGUGGUUUUUUUUUUUCUCACACAAAACCCUCAAAUCGGCGGCGUCAGACUUUUGGUCUAGGCUUGCGCUCUGCUCCAUGCUCGCCGACGAGGAGUCAUUUGCGGGAGAUUGGGUAUAUGUGUUGGGAUCAAAGAUUAAUACAUUUAAAAUCUCGAAAACAUAAUAUUGGUGCAUGUGAUGGAAUGGUGUAUGGUUGGGUCCCAUUUUAAUGUAUAUAAUAUAAUUUUGAAGGCAUGCGAAAUGUUAUUUCUAGGUUUAACAUGCCCAGGAAGCAAAGUAAUAUGGAUGUUGUGAUAGGGGAGCCAUGUAGGUCUUUAAUAUUACAUGAUGUAGACUCACUUUAUUUAUUUUAUAUAGUCCAAUAAUUUCAGUUU
Molecule: long non-coding RNA, 631 nt
Organism: Vigna unguiculata (cowpea)
Lineage: Eukaryota; Viridiplantae; Streptophyta; Magnoliopsida; Fabales; Fabaceae
Source: RefSeq, a predicted model, not a curated record